RNAcentral lists this ribosomal RNA (547 nucleotides) under Ramaria sp. BZ1897. Its description in RNAcentral is "eukaryotic LSU rRNA". The stretch from base 162 to 316 matches the Rfam family "5.8S ribosomal RNA". The record is from RNAcentral. Lineage: Eukaryota; Fungi; Basidiomycota; Agaricomycetes; Gomphales; Gomphaceae.
UCUUGGUCAUUUAGAGGAAGUAAAAGUCGUAACAAGGUUUCCGUAGGUGAACCUGCGGAAGGAUCAUUAGAGAAGCGCAUAUAUCCACUUACACCUGUGCACAAAGAGGUUAUUGACCUCAUUACACAUACACGUUGUUAUGCAUGUUUCCUUUAGAAUACAACUUUCAACAACGGAUCUCUUGGCUUUCGCAUCGAUGAAGAACGCCGCGAAAGUGCGAAACGUAAUGUGAAUUGCAGAAUUCAGUGAAUCAUCGAAUCUUUGAACGCAUCUUGCGCUCCUUGGUAUUCCGAGGAGCAUGCCUGUCUGAGUGUCGUGAAAUUAUCUCGACCACUGGUCGGAUGUGGACGUUGUUGUUGUUGUUGGCUUCAACUCGUCUUGAAAUUGAUUAGCGUCUUGUCCGGGUUUAGUGAACAGUGUAAUAAGUUGUAUUUCACUGUUUGGUUAAUACCCUAUAGGUCGCUUCUAAUAGGCCCACUUUUUUAAGUAAUGACCUCAGAUCAGGUAGGACUACCCGCUGAACUUAAGCAUAUCAAUAAGCGGAGGA